RNAcentral lists this ribosomal RNA (253 nucleotides) under uncultured bacterium. RNAcentral describes it as "partial 16S ribosomal RNA". It matches the Rfam family "Bacterial small subunit ribosomal RNA", at positions 524 to 776 of the family's 1533-position model. The record is from RNAcentral.
UACGGGGGGGGCAAGCGUUGUUCGGAAUUACUGGGCGUAAAGGGCUCGUAGGCGGCCAACUAAGUCAUACGUGAAAUCCCUCGGCUUAACCGGGGAACUGCGUCUGAUACUGGAUGGCUUGAGAUUGGGAGAGGGAUGCGGAAUUCCAGGUGUAGCGGUGAAAUGCGUAGAUAUCUGGAGGAACACCGGUGGCGAAGGCGGCAUCCUGGACCAACACUGACGCUGAGACGCGAAAGCGUGGGGAGCAAACAGG